Molecule: long non-coding RNA, 1516 nt
Filed under: Gossypium barbadense (sea-island cotton)
Lineage: Eukaryota; Viridiplantae; Streptophyta; Magnoliopsida; Malvales; Malvaceae
Description: long non-coding RNA (GBAR_LNC019194)
Source: RNAcentral
AAGUAGAAAUGGAAAGCCACCUGCGCAAAUUUGUUCUACUUUGAUAUAUUUCUCUCUUACAAGAUUCAUAUUAUUCCUUGUAUUGUUCAACAUCGUUAUAGUGCCUUUGUGAGCUAUCAACAUCAUAAAGCACUUUUGGUAUGUAUCACUAGCAGGAGACAAUAUAUAAGCUCUCUUGAACACAUCAACUGAAGUUUCUUCCCUCUUAUUGCGACAAUAUAAAAAAUAACCCACCAAGGCCAAUCGAAAUGCUCCCAUUAGUUGACUCGGUGCAACCCCGCAUGAAUUCAGAACAUCCACGAAGAAAAGAUGCAACAGUAGGUGAAACCCUAUUUAAAAUCCAUACAGUGAAACCCAAAAAUAUGGCGAAUCACCUUCCUUUAAACCUACUUUGCUUAGGUGAUGUUUUCCUUUAGGGAUUGAAAAUUUAUAUUUAAAUUUAGAAAAACACUCAAUCCCCCUACACUCUAAUAGAUGCCACUUUUCCUCCAUGGUAGUACUAUAUUCAAAUUUGUCACUCUCAACUGGGACAUCAUGAGAUCUUUUGGGUGCCAUAAUUUUUGAAUGAUGAUUCAAAACGAAUGAAGGAUAUUAAAAUAAAUAAGGAAACAAUAAAAUAACAAAAAAAAAGAAAACCUACAAUUUAGAAAACUUGAUCAUUUACUGGAGAACUCCAAAAAAAAAUUCAAAAAAGAAAAUACCAAAGGUAAACUUGGUGAAAUAGAGAUAAAUUUCAUAGAAUCUACAUUCGUUCCCGGAGCAACUAUGACGUAAUUUACUACAAUUUCAUAUCAUUAGGCAUACAUGUAACGCUGCAAAACUCGACCUAAAAGUUUAGACCGAAUCCUGGAGGUUACAUUGAUCACUGAAGUGAUCUGAAACAAUUUUACAAGCGAGUUGUUAAAAUCUUAUAUGAACACAAUUAUUAAAAUCGAACUAAACCAUUUAGCCCUUUUAGGAUUCAAAAUAGAGAAUUCAAGUCACGUUGAAGGCGUUCGGAAGUAAAGUUCCAAGUUUCUAGAAUUCAAAACAAAACUAUUUAUGAAAAUCCAAAAUUUGAUUGUACCACUGUAUUUAUAGAUGUUUACAGUCCAAAACAAUUCACAAAAUAAAAAAUCUGAAAAGUCAUUCUAUUAGUCCGACUUAAAACAUAUCACUCCGAGACCUCCAGCAUGUCAAGUCCAGCUACAGAAAAUGAGGGUACCUGCAAAGGGAUAAAGUAAGGGGGUGAGCUACACGAGCUCAAUGCGAGUUCGAAAAAGACAGAAAACAAACACUAAAGUGUCACAAAAAAAUAUCUCAAUGGCAAUCCGAUAUACGAGUAGUUUUCACAAACAAAUCGAACGUAUCAAUAUUGAAACACCUCGAUCUAUAAAUAGUUAGUUUCGUAAUCAUACAGAAUGUAGAAUGAAUGCAACAAGUAAUAAAAACCCACCCAACUAGCCAAACGACUCUCCAACCACUAUGCACACCACAUAUGAGCUAUUCAAGCCCAUCCAACCAUGCACACCACAUA